This 617-nucleotide ribosomal RNA is filed under the name uncultured bacterium. Its description in RNAcentral is "bacterial SSU rRNA". It matches the Rfam family "Bacterial small subunit ribosomal RNA", at positions 67 to 691 of the family's 1533-position model. The record is from RNAcentral.
UUUGAUCGAUUUCUUCGGAUUGAAUUUUAGUGACUGAGUGGCGGACGAGUGAGUAACGCGUGGGUAACCUGCCUCACACAGGGGGAUAACAGUUGGAAACGGCUGCUAAUACCGCAUAAGCGCACAGUACCGCAUGGUACAGUGUGAAAAACUCUGGUAGUGUGAGAUGGACCCGCGUCUGAUUAGCUGGUUGGCAGGGUAACGGCCUACCAAGGCGACGAUCAGUAGCCGACCUGAGAGGGUGACCGGCCACAUUGGGACUGAGACACGGCCCAAACUCCUACGGGAGGCAGCAGUGGGGAAUAUUGCACAAUGGGGGAAACCCUGAUGCAGCGACGCCGCGUGAGCGAAGAAGUAUUUCGGUAUGUAAAGCUCUAUCAGCAGGGAAGAAGAAAUGAUGGUACCUGACUAAGAAGCACCGGCUAAAUACGUGCCAGCAGCCGCGGUAAUACGUAUGGUGCAAGCGUUAUCCGGAUUUACUGGGUGUAAAGGGAGCGCAGGCGGAAGGCUAAGUCUGAUGUGAAAGCCCGGGGCUCAACCCCGGUACUGCAUUGGAAACUGGUCAUCUAGAGUGUCGGAGGGGUAAGUGGAAUUCCUAGUGUAGCGGUGAAAUGCGU